This 72-nucleotide transfer RNA is filed under the name Thermobifida halotolerans. It matches the Rfam family "tRNA". From Rfam's summary of the family: Transfer RNA (tRNA) molecules are approximately 80 nucleotides in length. The record is from Rfam by way of RNAcentral. Lineage: Bacteria; Bacillati; Actinomycetota; Actinomycetes; Streptosporangiales; Nocardiopsidaceae.
UCCCGGAUGAUGUAAUUGGAAGCAUGCGGGGUUUUGGUCCCCGUCGUCCAGGUUCGAGUCCUGGUCCGGGAG